GCAUGGUGAUAGUGUGACAAGGCUUUGGUAGAGGAGGUUGUUGUGUUAGUAUUGCCAUGGGUAGUGUUAUGAGCCUGGUGAUAGUGUGACAAGGCUUUGGUAGAGGAGGUUGUUGUGUUAGUAUUGCCAUGGGUAGUGUUAUGAGCCUGGUGAUAGUGUGACAAGGCUUUGGUAGAGGAGGUUGUUGUGUUAGUAUUGCCAUGGGUAGUGUUAUGAGCCUGGUGAUAGUGUGACAAGGCUUUGGUAGAGGAGGUUGUUGUGUUAGUAUUGCCAUGGGUAGUGUUAUGAGCCUGGUGAUAGUGUGACAAGGCUUUGGUG
Eriocheir sinensis (Chinese mitten crab) is the source of this 318-nucleotide long non-coding RNA. RefSeq lists it as uncharacterized. The record is from RefSeq and is a predicted model, not a curated record. The transcript has 3 exons. Lineage: Eukaryota; Metazoa; Arthropoda; Malacostraca; Decapoda; Varunidae.